CCCACUAUGCUUAGCCCUAAACCCAGACAGUUCACCUAAACAAAACUGUCCGCCAGAGAACUACUAGCAACAGCUUAAAACUCAAAGGACUUGGCGGUGCUUUAUAUCCCUCUAGAGGAGCCUGUUCUAUAAUCGAUAAUCCCCGAUACACCUCACCAUCCCUUGCUAAUCCAGCCUAUAUACCGCCAUCUUCAGCAAACCCUAAAAAGGAGGAAAAGUAAGCACAAGUAUCUUAACACAAAAAAGUUAGGUCAAGGUGUAGCCAAUGAGAUGGAAAGC
RNAcentral lists this ribosomal RNA (279 nucleotides) under Homotherium serum (Scimitar-toothed cat). RNAcentral describes it as "partial 12S ribosomal RNA". Lineage: Eukaryota; Metazoa; Chordata; Mammalia; Carnivora; Felidae. The record is from RNAcentral.